CAACAGGGAUUGCCCCAGUAACGGCGAGUGAAGCGGCAACAGCUCAAAUUUGAAAUCUGGCCCCCCCCGCGGGGCCCGAGUUGUAAUUUGCAGAGGAUGCUUUUGGCGCGGCGCCUUCCGAGUUCCCUGGAACGGGACGCCAUAGAGGGUGAGAGCCCCGUCUGGUCGGACGCCCAGCCUCUGUAAAGCUCCUUCGACGAGUCGAGUAGUUUGGGAAUGCUGCUCUAAAUGGGAGGUAUAUGUCUUCUAAAGCUAAAUACUGGCCAGAGACCGAUAGCGCACAAGUAGAGUGAUCGAAAGAUGAAAAGCACUUUGAAAAGAGGGUUAAACAGUACGUGAAAUUGUUGAAAGGGAAGCGCUUGUGACCAGACAUGGGCGCGGCGAAUCAUCCGGCGUUCUCGCCGGUGCACUUCGCCGCGCCCGGGCCAGCAUCAGUUCGCGGCGGGGGACAAAGGCGCCGGGAACGUGGCUCCCCCGGGAGUGUUAUAGCCCGGCGCGCAAUGCCCCGCGGCGGACUGAGGUUCGCGCAUCCGCAAGGAUGCUGGCGUAAUGGUCACCAGUGACCCGUCUUGAAACACGGACCAAGGAGUCGUCCUCGUAUGCGAGUGUUCGGGUGUCAAACCCCUACGCGCAAUGAAAGUGAACGCAGGUGAGAGCCUCACGGCGCAUCAUCGACCGAUCCUGAUGUUCUCGGAUGGAUUUGAGUAAGAGCAUACGGGGCCGGACCCGAAAGAAGGUGAACUAUGCCUGUGUAGGGUGAAGCCAGAGGAAACUCUGGUGGAGGCUCGCAGCGGUUCUGACGUGCAAAUCGAUCGUCAAACAUGGGCAUGGGGGCGAAAGACUAAUCGACU
This 851-nucleotide ribosomal RNA is filed under the name Hirsutella rhossiliensis. RNAcentral's name for it is "eukaryotic LSU rRNA". It matches the Rfam family "Eukaryotic large subunit ribosomal RNA", at positions 66 to 941 of the family's 3401-position model. Lineage: Eukaryota; Fungi; Ascomycota; Sordariomycetes; Hypocreales; Ophiocordycipitaceae. The record is from RNAcentral.